AAAGACACCUUAUGUAUUAUUCCAAACAAACAACCCAAUAAUUAACAAAAAUAAAAAGUUGGCUAAAUGAGAAUACCUUAUUUUAAAAAGUUGGAUAAAUGGGAAGACACCCCCGCAGAAUAGGUAAUUUUGAAUUGUUUUAUUGUAGGUGAAUCAGCAGAAUUCUUAAAUUUUGAUUCAAAUUCUCUAUCGCCUGUUCAAACUGGUCAAAAAGGAUGUGCAAGGUUAGAUUUAACAGAAGAUUCUAAAUGGAUUGCUGAUGAUUGUGCUAGAGUUUUCUGGGAUAUCGGGCAUAUUUGUCAAUAUACUGGAACAAGUUAGUUUAAAUAGUUUAAAAGUCUGAUAAUUGAAAGUUUGCAGUUUUUUUUGCGCCAAUUUGUUAUUAUUUACAAACGUCUUAAAAAUCGAAUUCUAUACGAAAAAGUAUUUAAGGAUAGAAAGUAUACGAUAAGUUACUUAAACACAGUCUCUACAAAAGAGAUUUAAAAAAGAAACAAUAACAAUCUCAUAAGAUGAAAAUAAAAUGACACGGCUAUUGCAACUUAGUAAGACCACAACUUAAUCAGUUAAACAAAACACAACAUAAAAAAACUAAAAGCUGAGCAACACAAACCCCACUAAAAUCGGGGAUGAUCUAGAACACCCUGAAGGGUGAGUAGAUCCUGCUCCACAAGUGACAACCUUCCAAACUUUUUAUGGUAAAUCAUGCAGAUUGAGGCGUAGACAGAUUAAACUUCUUAGAAAUUCACAUCUUUGUCAUUGUUGAAAAAUCUUAUCACAUAAGAUGGUCCAAGGUGCUAUGAGUAUUCGCUCGUUUUUCUGUUAUCAACUUAUUUUAAACAGUUAGAUUUGUUUAUUCCACGUGUUUUUCGUAUUGUGAUCUUAUAUGUAUGCAAUGAAAUAGUGUAUAAAAACUAUCUUGUACUUGUCUAAGAGCUAAAACGCCAUCUUUCUUAUCACAUUAAAAUGUUGUUUUCAUUGUUUUUUUAGGCUCUGCACCAUAUACGAGUAAGUAAGCUUCUUAAAGAAGACCAUUUGAUGACCACUAUGAGUAUGAAAUUAGGACCAGCCUUGAAAAUUUGUGCUAAAAUUAACUCCUUGCGAGAAGGACAUGACUAAACGCAUUUUGCCAGAGGCAGACAUUUUUAUUGGUGCAGAACACGUAAAAGUGUGAUAAUGUACAUAUGUGUAAUAUUGUUGUGUAUGAUACAAUGUAAUUGAUUGUUAGAAUAGAUUGAAUUUAUUUGGAAUAUAUUGUUUGCUCAUAGUAGUAUGCUUGUACUAUAUCACAUUUAUUAAAGGAAGGCUUAAAUUAAUUUGGUCCAAAAUUUAAAACUCUGACAUAUUCUAUCUAAACACAAUAAUUACAUCUUAUAUGAAUAAAUAUAAAUCAAGUAUUUUAUAUACUGCUUGCUUUUGAAUAGAGUGAAAAAAGGUACUAUUCCAGGUUUUAUUCAGAUUUGCUGUUUCAAUACAACUACACUGUUAAACCCAAAACAAGAAAUUUGCUAUGAAAAUGGGCAUUAAGGCAUCAGGGCAUCUGCACAGAAAAAAAAGAAAAAAAUUGUUGGUUCAUGCAUGUUGUAAAACCAUGAAGCAAAAUUUAUCCCAAUGUUUGCCUUAAUCUGUCUAAACAGAGAUUUUAAUUAUUAUUUAACAUUGAUGGCAUUUGAAUGAAAUCAUCACAAAUAAUAAUGUAUAUAUUGUAAUCAUCUGUUAUUUAUACAUUGUUAACAUUUUGUUUGUCAAAGAAAAGUAAAAAAUGAAAUUUCACAAAAUUCUAAGGAUCAAUAUAGAUUUCAUGCAGCUUCCUACAUUUAGUGCUAUGUCCAGCAACAGGUUGUAGAUAUUUUUAUUUAUGUUAAUUAAAUUUUUAAGUAUAAAAUAUUUUAUUCCUAAUUUUGACUUUUUCUAUCUCAUCAGGAAAUUUGUCUAACUUAUCUUGAUUUUUGCUCCAUCUCAGUUGGUAUAUUUCAAAAAUAUCUCUGCCUUGUUUAUAACUAUAUGUAUCAUGUAUAAUCGUGAAUAAAAAAA
RNAcentral lists this long non-coding RNA (2034 nucleotides) under Mytilus galloprovincialis (Mediterranean mussel). Lineage: Eukaryota; Metazoa; Mollusca; Bivalvia; Mytilida; Mytilidae. The record is from RNAcentral.